Molecule: small nucleolar RNA, 83 nt
Filed under: Genlisea aurea
Lineage: Eukaryota; Viridiplantae; Streptophyta; Magnoliopsida; Lamiales; Lentibulariaceae
Description: Small nucleolar RNA R160
Rfam family: Small nucleolar RNA R160
About the family: snoR160 is a C/D box small nucleolar RNA, which acts as a methylation guide for 25S ribosomal RNA in plants. snoR160 has been alternatively named snoZ270 in rice.
Source: Rfam by way of RNAcentral
GGCAAAAUGAUGAGAAUUUGGUUUCUGAAUUCCGGUGUGGAGAUUCUUUAUCCAGUAAUGGUCUUCAAAGUUCUCUGAUUGCC